UACGAAGGGGCUAGCGUUGCUCGGAAUUACUGGGCGUAAAGCGCGCGUAGGCGGACCACCAAGUUGGAUGUGAAAUCCCAGGGCUCAACUCUGGAACUGCAUUCAAAACUGUUGGUCUAGAGGCUAGGAGAGGUCAGUGGAAUACCGAGUGUAGAGGUGAAAUUCGUAGAUAUUCGGAGGAACACCAGUGGCGAAGGCGGCUCACUGGCUCGAUACUGACGCUGAGGUGCGAAAGUGUGGGGAGCAAACAGG
RNAcentral lists this ribosomal RNA (252 nucleotides) under uncultured bacterium. RNAcentral's name for it is "partial 16S ribosomal RNA". It matches the Rfam family "Bacterial small subunit ribosomal RNA", at positions 524 to 776 of the family's 1533-position model. The record is from RNAcentral.